Molecule: ribosomal RNA, 489 nt
Filed under: Klebsiella pneumoniae
Lineage: Bacteria; Pseudomonadati; Pseudomonadota; Gammaproteobacteria; Enterobacterales; Enterobacteriaceae
Description: bacterial LSU rRNA
Rfam family: Bacterial large subunit ribosomal RNA
Source: RNAcentral
GGGUUGUGAGGUUAAGCGACUAAGCGUACACGGUGGAUGCCCUGGCAGUCAGAGGCGAUGAAGGACGUGCUAAUCUGCGAAAAGCGUCGGUAAGGUGAUAUGAACCGUUAUAACCGGCGAUGUCCGAAUGGGGAAACCCAGUGCAAUUCGUUGCACUAUCGUUAACUGAAUACAUAGGUUAACGAGGCGAACCGGGGGAACUGAAACAUCUAAGUACCCCGAGGAAAAGAAAUCAACCGAGAUUCCCCCAGUAGCGGCGAGCGAACGGGGAGCAGCCCAGAGUCUGAAUCAGCUUGUGUGUUAGUGGAACGGUCUGGAAAGUCCGACGGUACAGGGUGAUAGUCCCGUACACCAAAAUGCACAGGCUGUGAACUCGAAGAGUAGGGCGGGACACGUGGUAUCCUGUCUGAAUAUGGGGGGACCAUCCUCCAAGGCUAAAUACUCCUGACUGACCGAUAGUGAACCAGUACCGUGAGGGAAAGGCGAAAA